Molecule: unclassified non-coding RNA, 324 nt
Filed under: soil metagenome
Description: partial contains 5.8S ribosomal RNA, internal transcribed spacer 2, and large subunit ribosomal RNA
Rfam family: 5.8S ribosomal RNA (bases 1-120)
Source: RNAcentral
GAUGAAGAACGUAGCGAAAUGCGAUAAGUAAUGCGAAUUGCAGAAUUCAGUGAGUCGUCGAAUCUUUGAACGCACAUUGCGCCCUGUGGUAUUCCGCAGGGCAUGCCUGUUCGAGCGUCAUUUCAACCCUCAAGCCCCGCUUGGUGUUGGGCCCCGCCCGCUGUAGCCGGCCCUAAAGACAGUGGCGGCGCCGCCUGGCCCUCAGCGUAGUACAUCUCUCGCUCCAGGGUCCGGUGGCCGCCUGCCAGAACCCCCCAACUCUGUGGUUGACCUCGGAUCAGGUAGGGAUACCCGCUGAACUUAAGCAUAUCAAUAAGCGGAGGA